AGCUUCAGUAGCGUAUAUUAAAGUUGUUGCAGUUAAAAAGCUCGUAGUUGCAUUUCCGAGGCAAGGGAUUAGUCCGACCUUUGGUGGGUAUUUAAUCCUCUUGCCUCGUCCUUGAGUGGUGCUUCUUGGUAUUAAGUUAUCGAGGAGAUAGCCGCUCAUCGUUUACUGUGAGAAAAUUAGAGUGUUCAAAGCAGGCUUAUGCCGUUGAAUAUAUUAGCAUGGAAUAAUAAGAUAGGACCUCGGUACUAUUUUGUUGGUUUGAGAACCAAGGUAAUGAUGAAUAGGGACAGUUGGGGGUAUUCGUAUUCAGUUGUCAGAGGUGAAAUUCUUAGAUUUACGGAAGACGAACUACUGCGAAAGCAUUUACCAAGGAUGUUUUCA
This 381-nucleotide ribosomal RNA is filed under the name uncultured marine Chaetocerotaceae. RNAcentral describes it as "SSU rRNA". It matches the Rfam family "Eukaryotic small subunit ribosomal RNA", at positions 587 to 972 of the family's 1831-position model. Lineage: Eukaryota; Bacillariophyta; Thalassiosirophyceae; Chaetocerotales; Chaetocerotaceae. The record is from RNAcentral.